UCAGUCAUGACGCAGAGGAACAAGCGUGUGUCUAUAAACGCGACAAGUUGUAGGUUCGAUUCCCACUCGCUGAA
RNAcentral lists this transfer RNA (74 nucleotides) under Heliconius melpomene (postman butterfly). RNAcentral describes it as "tRNA HMEL011627". The record is from RNAcentral. Lineage: Eukaryota; Metazoa; Arthropoda; Insecta; Lepidoptera; Nymphalidae.